This 614-nucleotide long non-coding RNA is filed under the name Zostera marina. Its description in RNAcentral is "long non-coding RNA (ZMAR_LNC000902)". Lineage: Eukaryota; Viridiplantae; Streptophyta; Magnoliopsida; Alismatales; Zosteraceae. The record is from RNAcentral.
UCUGCGAAGAAUUGCUACAACAGGAUUAACCUUAGCAAAUACCCUCCAGAUCAUCGCAGAACCUUGUCUCCAAAUGGUCCUUAUGAGAACACUAGCAAAGAGUCUUCGGUCAACAUGAUCAGCACUGGUUAUGGAGGCAAUGCCCGAUGGUAUCACGACACAGCUGCUACUGCUAGUGUGACUCAAUCAGGUAAUAAUCUUCACUCUAUUAGGCCAUACACAGGAUCUGAUUGUAUGAGGACAGCGAAUGGAGAAGGUAUGGAGAUCACUCACUGUGGUGAUGCUAUUUUCACACAUCAGGAUUCUAAUUUUGUGUUGAAAGAUGUGUUAGUUGCACCUGAUGCAAAUAGAAAUCUAGUUUCUGUUAAAAACUUUUGCAAGGAUAAUCAUGUGUCUGUGGAAUUUGAUGAACAGAAAGCCAAGGUCAGGGAUCGAAAAACUAGGAGGGUACUUGCUGUGGAUCAGGAGGAAGAUGGUUUUUAUCCAAUUUCUUUUUCAAUAAAACAGCCUUUGGAGGCUUCUAUGGUGGAGAGGUCUAAAGUUUCAAGUGAAGUUUGGCACUGCCGCCUGGGGCAUCUGAAUUUCAGAUCUGUUUUAGCUUUAAUUCGAAGGGG